UUAAGCAUAUCAAUAAGCGGAGGAAAAGAAACUAACAAGGAUUCCCCUAGUAACUGCGAGUGAAGCGGGAAGAGCUCAAAUUUAAAAUCUGGCGUGCCUCUGGUCGUCCGAGUUGUAGUCUGGAGAAGCGUUUUCCGUGUUGGACCGUGUAUAAGUCUCUUGGAACAGGGCGUCAUAGAGGGUGAGAAUCCCGUCUUUGACACGGACUACCAAUGCUUUGUGAUGCGCUCUCAAAGAGUCGAGUUGUUUGGGAAUGCAGCUCAAAAUGGGUGGUAAAUUCCAUCUAAAGCUAAAUAUAGGCGAGAGACCGAUAGCGAACAAGUACCGUGAGGGAAAGAUGAAAAGCACUUUGGAAAGAGAGUUAAACAGUACGUGAAAUUGCUGAAAGGGAAACGCUUGAAGUCAGUCACGUCUGCCAGGACUCAGCCUCGCUUCUGCUUGGUGUACUUUCUGGUUUGAUGGGCCAACAUCAAUUUCGACCGUUGGAGAAAGGCUUUGGGAACGUGGCACCUUUGGGUGUGUUAUAGCCCUUGGUUGUAUACAACGGUCGGGAUUGAGGACUGCAGCACGCCUUUAUGGCCGGGGUUCGCCCACGUACGUGCUUAGGAUGUUGGCAUAAUGGCUUUAAGCGACCC
RNAcentral lists this ribosomal RNA (635 nucleotides) under Tomentella griseocastanea. RNAcentral describes it as "partial large subunit ribosomal RNA". It matches the Rfam family "Eukaryotic large subunit ribosomal RNA", at positions 34 to 650 of the family's 3401-position model. Lineage: Eukaryota; Fungi; Basidiomycota; Agaricomycetes; Thelephorales; Thelephoraceae. The record is from RNAcentral.